UCCAGACUCCUACGGGAGGCAGCAGCGGGGGAUAUUGCACAAUGGGGGGAACCCUGAUGCAGCGACGCCGCGUGGGUGAAGGAGCGUUUCGGCGCGUAAAGCCCUAUCGGCAGGGAAGAAGGAGGACGGUACCUGACUAAGAAGCCCCGGCUAACUACGUGCCAGCAGCCGCGGUAAUACGUAGGGGGCAAGCGUUAUCCGGAUUUACUGGGUGUAAAGGGGGCGCAGACGGCAGCGCAAGCCAGGAGUGAAAGCCCGGGGCCCAACCCCGGGACUGCUCUUGGAACUGCGCGGCUGGAGUGCAGGAGGGGCAGGCGGAAUUCCUGGUGUAGCGGUGAAAUGCGUAGAUAUCAGGAGGAACACCGGUGGCGAAGGCGGCCUGCUGGACUGCGACUGACGUUGAGGCCCGAAAGCGUGGGGAGCAAACAGGAUUAGAUACCCUAGUAC
RNAcentral lists this ribosomal RNA (447 nucleotides) under uncultured bacterium. RNAcentral's name for it is "partial 16S ribosomal RNA". It matches the Rfam family "Bacterial small subunit ribosomal RNA", at positions 330 to 793 of the family's 1533-position model. The record is from RNAcentral.